UGAGUAACACGUGGGUGAUCUGCCCUGCACUUUGGGAUAAGCCUGGGAAACUGGGUCUAAUACCGAAUAGGACCACGCAUUUCAUGGUGUGUGGUGGAAAGCUUUUGCGGUGUGGGAUGGGCCCGCGGCCUAUCAGCUUGUUGGUGGGGUAAUGGCCUACCAAGGCGACGACGGGUAGCCGGCCUGAGAGGGUGACCGGCCACACUGGGACUGAGAUACGGCCCAGACUCCUACGGGAGGCAGCAGUGGGGAAUAUUGCACAAUGGGCGCAAGCCUGAUGCAGCGACGCCGCGUGAGGGAUGACGGCCUUCGGGUUGUAAACCUCUUUCAAUAGGGACGAAGCGCAAGUGACGGUACCUAUAGAAGAAGGACCGGCCAACUACGUGCCAGCAGCCGCGGUAAUACGUAGGGUCCGAGCGUUGUCCGGAAUUACUGGGCGUAAAGAGCUCGUAGGUGGUUUGUCGCGUUGUUCGUGAAAACUCACAGCUUAACUGUGGGCGUGCGGGCGAUACGGGCAGACUAGAGUACUGCAGGGGAGACUGGAAUUCCUGGUGUAGCGGUGGAAUGCGCAGAUAUCAGGAGGAACACCGGUGGCGAAGGCGGGUCUCUGGGCAGUAACUGACGCUGAGGAGCGAAAGCGUGGGGAGCGAACAGGAUUAGAUACCCUGGUAGUCCACGCCGUAAACGGUGGGUACUAGGUGUGGGUUUCCUUCCUUGGGAUCCGUGCCGUAGCUAACGCAUUAAGUACCCCGCCUGGGGGAGUACGGCCGCAAGGCUAAAACUCAAAGGAAUUGACGGGGGGCCCGCACAA
RNAcentral lists this ribosomal RNA (811 nucleotides) under Mycobacterium sp. RNAcentral's name for it is "bacterial SSU rRNA". It matches the Rfam family "Bacterial small subunit ribosomal RNA", at positions 107 to 928 of the family's 1533-position model. The record is from RNAcentral. Lineage: Bacteria; Bacillati; Actinomycetota; Actinomycetes; Mycobacteriales; Mycobacteriaceae.